GGCUCCAGGGGGGCAUCUCCUCUCUCCUCCCCUCCCCUCAGCAUCCUAACACUCCCUCUGCUGCUGAGCUGUGGUACAGAGUGGAUGGGUCCGAGGAGCACGUUGACAGCUCUGGCCCGUGUGUGUGAGCCCGCCUGCAUACAUGGAUAAAAGGAUCUCCCAGGUUCUGUUGAUGUGGAAGUUCUGCUACGCUGCCUUCUCUCCCGAUCAAACAUCACAGUGCUGAUUGUUAAGCAUCGUCUUGCUUUCCCACGUUUGUUUCCAAGCGUAAUAAAGCUACACUGUAUUAAACA
Molecule: long non-coding RNA, 293 nt
Organism: Gambusia affinis (western mosquitofish)
Lineage: Eukaryota; Metazoa; Chordata; Actinopteri; Cyprinodontiformes; Poeciliidae
Exons: 2
Source: RefSeq, a predicted model, not a curated record